Neopelma chrysocephalum (saffron-crested tyrant-manakin) is the source of this 102-nucleotide long non-coding RNA. RefSeq lists it as uncharacterized. NCBI's taxonomy places the organism in Eukaryota, Metazoa, Chordata, Aves, Passeriformes, Pipridae. The transcript has 3 exons. The record is from RefSeq and is a predicted model, not a curated record.
AGAAGCCUUCUUGUUGUCCAUGAACUGUCCCUCUGGGAUGGCACUGGCAUUGAGUACUCUGUAUCUGCAGAAGAAAACAUGAAGAAAUUCACAUGUCUGAAA